RNAcentral lists this long non-coding RNA (181 nucleotides) under Homo sapiens (human). RNAcentral's name for it is "SLC8A1 antisense RNA 1". Lineage: Eukaryota; Metazoa; Chordata; Mammalia; Primates; Hominidae. The record is from RNAcentral.
ACUGUGGGUUUGUCAUAUACAGCCUUUGUUAUGUUGAGAAGUUUACGAAGACAAAAGAGGAAUGACGACUCAGCAUAUUGUAAUUAUCCAGUUGAUAUUUAUCUUGUUCCAGUCACCUUUAGAAAGCUGUUUGGCAAGGGCAGUGACUGGAAGCUGGGAGAGAGGGUCAACAGCUGAAUCU